UUUGGCUGUAGGACACAAGUAAAAGGAGAAGAAUGCUGCUCAGCUGGGUUGGCGAAGCUCUUGGAUAUCAUCAGCACAUGUAUGAAGCACAGAGUCAUUCCGGUAGGCACAGAGUCGUUCCUCGAUGGACGUGAUGACCUGGCACCAAAACCGCUUAAUGUGUAUGAGGCUGUGUCUGCAUCGAGGGAAGAAACCAGCACUGAAAUGUUGAGUGACACAAAUGAAAGAAGAGUACUUCUGCUCUGCUGGGUCUGCGACACUAAUUAUCCGAGGAGUCCUCAAACAUCAGGAUGUAGGAAGACACAAGUAAAAGGAGAAGAAUGCUGCUCAGCUGGGUCGGCGGUCACACUACUUAUUCAAGAAGCUCUUGGAUAUCAUCAGCAUGUAUGAAGCACAGUCAUUCCGGUAGGCACGGAGUCGUUCCUCGAUGGACGUGAUGACCUGGCACCAAAACCGCUUAAUGUGUAUGAAGCUGUGUCUGCAUCGAGGGAAGAACCCAGCACUGAAAUGACACAAAUGAAAGAGGAC
Molecule: long non-coding RNA, 528 nt
Organism: Engraulis encrasicolus (European anchovy)
Lineage: Eukaryota; Metazoa; Chordata; Actinopteri; Clupeiformes; Engraulidae
Exons: 6
Source: RefSeq, a predicted model, not a curated record